GACGAACGCUGGCGGCGUGCUUAACACAUGCAAGUCGAACGGAAAGGCCCUGCUUUUGUGGGGUGCUCGAGUGGCGAACGGGUGAGUAACACGUGAGUAACCUGCCCUUGACUUUGGGAUAACUUCAGGAAACUGGGGCUAAUACCGGAUAGGCGCUCCUGCUGCAUGGUGGGGGUUGGAAAGUUUCGGCGGUUGGGGAUGGACUCGCGGAUUAUCAGCUUGUUGGUGGGGUAGUGGCUUACCAAGGCUUUGACGGGUAGCCGGCCUGAGAGGGUGACCGGCCACAUUGGGACUGAGAUACGGCCCAGACUCCUACGGGAGGCAGCAGUGGGGAAUAUUGCACAAUGGGCGGAAGCCUGAUGCAGCAACGCCGCGUGCGGGAUGACGGCCUUCGGGUUGUAAACCGCUUUCGCCUGUGACGAAGCGUGAGUGACGGUAAUGGGUAAAGAAGCACCGGCUAACUACGUG
Molecule: ribosomal RNA, 468 nt
Filed under: uncultured bacterium
Lineage: Bacteria
Description: partial 16S ribosomal RNA
Rfam family: Bacterial small subunit ribosomal RNA
Source: RNAcentral